UAGUCCUAGCCGUAAACGAUGUCAACUAGGUGUUGGGGGUAACCAAUCCCUCAGUACUGCAGCUAACGCGAUAAGUUGACCGCCUGGGGACUACGGCCGCAAGGCUAAAACUCAAAGGAAUUGACGGGUUCCCGCACAAGCAACGGAGCGUGUGGUUUAAUUCGAGGCUACGCGAAGAACCUUACCCGGGUUUGACAUAUACGUGGUACUGACCGGAAACGGAAGGGACCCUUCGGGGAGCGUAUACAGGUGCUGCAUGGCUGUCGUCAGCUCGUGCCGUGAGGUGUCAGGUUAAGUCCUGUAACGAGCGCAACCCACAUUGCUAGUUAUACGUGUCUAGCGAGACUGCCCGUGAUAAGCGGGAGGAAGGUGUGGAUGACGUCAAGUCAGCAUGGCCUUUAUAUCCGGGGCUACACACACGCUACAAUGGACGGUACAAUGGGCAGCGAAGCCGCGAGGUGAAGCCAAUCCCCCAAAGCCGUUCUCAGUUCGGAUUGUAGGCUGCAACUCGCCUGCA
Molecule: ribosomal RNA, 517 nt
Filed under: uncultured bacterium
Lineage: Bacteria
Description: bacterial SSU rRNA
Rfam family: Bacterial small subunit ribosomal RNA
Source: RNAcentral